CUCAACGUAGCUAGUUAAGUGCUGAAUUCUUACUUCAGUGAUGUGUUUUACCGUUGGGU
RNAcentral lists this transfer RNA (59 nucleotides) under Atractolytocestus huronensis. RNAcentral's name for it is "tRNA-Lys". Lineage: Eukaryota; Metazoa; Platyhelminthes; Cestoda; Caryophyllidea; Lytocestidae. The record is from RNAcentral.